This 254-nucleotide ribosomal RNA is filed under the name uncultured bacterium. RNAcentral's name for it is "partial 16S ribosomal RNA". It matches the Rfam family "Bacterial small subunit ribosomal RNA", at positions 524 to 776 of the family's 1533-position model. The record is from RNAcentral.
UACGGGGGGAGCAAGCGUUGUUCGGAUUUACUGGGCGUAAAGGGCGCGUAGGCGGUCAGUGCAAGUCAGUUGUGAAAUCUCCGGGCUUAACUCGGAAAGGUCAACUGAUACUGCUCGACUAGAGUGCGGAAGGGGCAACUGGAAUUCUUGGUGUAGCGGUGAAAUGCGUAGAUAUCAAGAGGAACACCUGCGGCGAAGGCGGCUCACUGGCCAGGUACUGACGCUGAGGUGCGAAAGCGUGGGGAGCAAACAGG